RNAcentral lists this ribosomal RNA (432 nucleotides) under uncultured bacterium. Its description in RNAcentral is "partial 16S ribosomal RNA". It matches the Rfam family "Bacterial small subunit ribosomal RNA", at positions 29 to 506 of the family's 1533-position model. The record is from RNAcentral.
AACGAACGCUGGCGGCAUGCCUAACACAUGCAAGUCGAACGAGACCUUCGGGUCUAGUUGCGCACGGGUGCGAAACGCGUGGGAACCUGCCCUUAGGUUCGGAAUAACUCCCCGAAAGGGGUGCUAAUACCGGAUAAUGUCUUCGGACCAAAGAUUUAUCGCCUUUGGAUGGGCCCGCGUUGGAUUAGCUAGUUGGUAGGGUAAAAGACUACCAAGGCGACGAUCCAUAGCUGGUCUGAGAGGAUGAUCAGCCACACUGGGACUGAGACACGGCCCAGACUGCUGCGGGAGGCAGCAGUGGGGAAUAUUGGACAAUGGGCGGAAGCCUGAUCCAGCAAUGCCGCGUGAGUGAUGAAGGCCUGAGAGUUGUAAAGCUCUUUUACCCGGGAUGAUAAUGACAGUACCGGGAGAAUAAGCUCCGGCUAACUCCGU